Molecule: ribosomal RNA, 910 nt
Filed under: Lindgomyces angustiascus
Lineage: Eukaryota; Fungi; Ascomycota; Dothideomycetes; Pleosporales; Lindgomycetaceae
Description: eukaryotic LSU rRNA
Rfam family: 5.8S ribosomal RNA (bases 581-733)
Source: RNAcentral
GUACUGGAUUAUCUCUAGCGAGGUCCAGCCUAUUCUCUACCACACGCGAGGUCUCAAAUCUGGCCCCUGAUCUAAGCGUGCUAUUCUCUACUGUAGAUAAAGUGACAGCCACUGCGAGGACCCCUUUGCUCAAGGGAAACCCGCGGUGGCGUAGUGGCAAAUGGCUCCCACCGUCCUUCAGGCGUAUAUCGCCUGCGGAGUUGGUUUAGGUCUUCGGAUCAGGAGGGAUGCCAUCACUGAAAAGUCUGCCCGUCGCUUUUUCUUUACCCGAGCGCGUUAAUGGACCAAGGGUACGGUACCUCGAGGCAAUUUGAAAUGAGUUGCCUCUGUCGUGUGUUUAUAUAUCUAUUUGCCUUGUAGCCCGCGGGUUUUCUGAACCUUUGCGUAUGGGCGGGCGUCUACUCUCACUUGGUCAGCACUUGCUGAACGAUUUUUCUCCCUUGGGGAAUCGAUCCUAUGCCAACUCCUGGACCCCCUGUUUAUGUGUACCCUUCGUUUCCUCGGCAGGCUUGCCUGCCAAUGGGGACUCUAACAAACUCUUUUUGUAGUUGCAGUGUCAGUAGAAUUAUCAAUCUUAUAAAACUUUCAACAACGGAUUCUUGGUUCUGGCAUCGAUGAAGAACGCAGCGAAAUGCGAUAAGUAGUGUGAAUUGCAGAAUUCAGUGAAUCAUCGAAUCUUUGAACGCACAUUGCGCCCUUUGGUAUUCCAUAGGGCAUGCCUGUUCGAGCGUCGUUUCAAACCUUCAAGCCUAGCUUGAUGUUGGGUGUUGUCCCGCGUCCUGCGUGGACUCGCCUUAAAACCAUUGGCAGCAGACAUCGUGGCUAAUUGCGCAGCAGAUACUAAAAGGCGUUGGAUGUCGGCUCUCCACGAGUGUAGCCUUUUCUGUCAGUUGCCUGCCCCUUCCCCCCC